Phaethon lepturus (White-tailed tropicbird) is the source of this 426-nucleotide non-coding RNA. Lineage: Eukaryota; Metazoa; Chordata; Aves; Phaethontiformes; Phaethontidae. The record is from the annotation of a RefSeq genome assembly.
AUGCUGCUGCUGGCAGCGCUUGUGGCCACAGCCAUCUGGUCUUAUGGAUUUACACAAGAAAUUCCUGUGCAGAGCCCUAUUUCCAUCACCAAAUUCCAAAAAAGUGCACGGAUGACAUGUGAAAUUCAAACAUUAGGGGAACGUUUUGACAGCACCGUCAUACACUGGUAUCAACAGAAGGAGGGUAAAGCUCCAGAGAGGCUACUGUUCUUUUCAGGAGGGGAAGUUUCAGUUGAAAGUGGCUUUAAAGCAAACAGGUACAUGGUUGAAAGGGUUUCUGGCCAGAAACGGUGUGUUCUUACGAUAAAAGAUGUAAUUCCAGAUGAUGCUGCUACUUACUACUGCGCCUACUGGGACCCUCACUGUGAUGGAAACUCAAACAUCAUUGAUGCAAAAAAAACCUCCAAACCCCGCCUCAACAUCUGA